This is a non-coding RNA of Danio rerio (zebrafish), 2701 nucleotides long. NCBI's taxonomy places the organism in Eukaryota, Metazoa, Chordata, Actinopteri, Cypriniformes, Danionidae. The record is from Ensembl.
CCUCCUCCUCCUCCCCUGGCUGGGCUGCAUGGAGCCGCACUUCACGGAAAACGAGGGAAUGAGGAAGAGACAGAUAAAGCAGCCACGCUGCUCCAGGAUUCUCUCAUUCUGCUGCGCUCAGCUGGGCUCAGUCUAUUCUUUUCCCUCCCUCUCUCCCUCUCUCAUCGAUUCUCUCCGUCCGAGCGACCGUCCGUCCGCCCGUCCGAGCACAACUACACUCGAUCUCUCCCGGCCGUCGUUCUCUUGUCCUCGCUCUCCUGUAGACAAACGCACACUCACAGACCGACAAGACUUCUCGUUCCUCUUCCUCCUUUCACAUCCCAGGCGAAGGCUGGGCUGUAUGCGGCGAGCAGGAGACACAGACGAAGCGGCAAGAAAUGAAAGCACAAAGCAGCAAAACGCAUCAGCAUGAAUAUUAGAGAUGUCGUUAAAAUCCGGACUCGUUUUUCUCUCUCUCUCUCCCUUGCUCACUCACUCUCUCUCACUCUCUCUCUCUCUUUAGCUCAUUGUGAAACAGGAGGUCCAGCAGAGGGUGCUAGUUGUUAUUACAUUAACUUUCAGAACUUAACCCCAAAAAUACUGAAUUUCAAUACUUGCUGAGCACGAAAUGAACAGCAGCAAGUGUUCGAAGGAAUGAGUACACCUGGAGAUGUUUUCAGCAGCUAAUCUGUGUCAAAACAGAUCAGUCAAGUACAAUAAAUCACAAUUACAAACACAUGCACACACACGCGUGAGAGCAGGUGGCAUAAGUUCAUGUGCUGCUAGAUCGAUUCACAGGAAGUGAAAAUAGAGACUCAAAGGGAAAUGAGGUCAUGCCCUCUCUUUCCCAAAGCGUGACACUGGUCGUGUGCAACUGUGCUCGUGCGUUGCAAAAAACUUGUGACCACAGAUACAUACAAAACACAAAUGAAAGCAAGAGUAGAGCUGUAACAUAAAAAAUAACUGACUUGAAAUGAGGAACAUUCAAUAUGAAAAGAAAUAUAGCAGGUAUGGAACCACCAGGACUGUAUCAGCGGUCUGAAAUCACUCAGAAAAGUGGGUCAGCUUUGGGUAAGAAUCUUACAGAGCAGCACACAGAUUAGCUGUGGCUAUAGACCGAGCCUUGAGACUGAAGUAAGCUCAACUUCUACAAGGUCAAAUGAAUGCAAGGUUGAACAAGAGUCCUGAAAGUCGUCUAAAAUCUAUCAUUUUCACUAGGUGGCACAUAGUGUGCAAGUGCUUUUCAAUUCUGUCAGUAUACUAGGCACAAUAAAACGUUUUGCACUUUAGAAAACAGGCUUUGUGUGACAUAGUGAGAUAACAAAACUCUCUCGAGAGAGCGAGAGAGAUAACAAGGCCUUGAAGUUUGGACUGGUGGAAAUACAAAUUAAGACCUCAAAAAACAACUAUUAUGAUUAUUUAAAAGCAGCUAAAUAAAAAGAAGAACCAAACAACUAAAUAAACAAUAGGGCUAUGAAAAUGUAGGAGUAAAUUGUUUAAAAAUGUUAAGUUAAACUAGUGCCAUUUCAAAGCUUCAGUCUAUUAAAAAUAAAAUUAGUGUACGUUGGUCAAUUUUUCUGAGCAAUUUGUACUUACUAAUAUUCAUUCAAAAGAGUAGAUGAGGACCAUAUAAAUAUGAGAAAGUGAAUAAAAUAGAGUCUUUUUACGUACUGUAUGGAGGAAGAAAAGAAAUAUGCAUGUGCUCUAGACUAGAUGUAUAGCACAAACCCCCACCACAUCAUGGAAAACAAACAGUUAAUAUGUAAAUAAGAUGAAAUAGCAGCACCAAGAUAUUGGGAGGAGCUCAGUUACAGAGAGAGAGAGAGAGAGAGAGAGAGAGAGAGAGAGAGAGAGAGAGAGAGAGAGAGAGAGAGAGAGAGAGAGAGAGAGAGAGAGCUCCUUCACUUCUCCAUCUACGCAAUGUAUUUACAAACCCGCCCACUUUCAGACCUCCUACAUUAGGUGGAUAUUUUCAAGGAUAAAAGUAUGGAGAACGUUUAAGCCAACAUGGAAGAAAAAUCUAUAACAUUCAUGCAAAAUGAUUGAUUUUAACAGUGUCAUCUUGACAAAUAUUAACACAUUUUGCUCUUUGCAACAAGGUAGGAGCUCUAGCAUCACUGAAAUUGCUCAAUCCCUUUGUCUUAGUGCCUGCAACCAUUCCAGAUAUCCAAGCAGUCACGUAAAGACUAAAUUGUCACCAUCUUAUGAAGUGGCACAUAUGGAAUCAAUGCAUGCAAAAAGCUGCAAUCAGCUCACCAUAUGUCUGUGCCUUUCAUGUGUGAUUACUAAACAUUUGUAUAGUUAAGCUGCAUCUCAAAUGCAAAUAAUAAUAAAAAUAAAUAAAUAAAUAAUAGUAGUAGUAGUAAUGAUAAUAUAAAUAAUGAUAUAUAAUUCUUAAUAUCAACAUUGAAAAUUGAAUAAUUUUCUGUUACCACAAAAUUAUUAAGCAGCAUAUAUUUACAUUUUCCCUUUAACUAGAAAGCUCAAUGUAACAGCAUUCAUUUGAAACGUAAAUAUUGUUGUAGCCUUAAAUAUUGUUUGAAAGACUCCAAUUAAGAACUUUGCAUCUCCAGACAAUGUCGGUGAAGUUUCAGGUCAAAAUACCCAUUAGAUGAUUUAUUACACCCUGUUGAAAAUGUCAAUUUUGGGGUCAGGGGGAAUUGUAUCUGUUUUGGCACCUGUGCCUUUAAAUAAAAAUGAGCUGGUUCCCCUUGCCCAUUCA